AUGGGGACCUUCGGGCAUGGAGCCCAGGCAUCUAUCAAGAUUUCGAUGAAGAUUCUGAUAAGCAUGAAAAGCAGACAUUUGGGAAAUAUUGGUAGGCGCCAUGACAGGAGUCUAGAAGGAGUCUACGAUGACCCCCAGGAGACACUGCUGGCUCAAGCCAUCGGUGAUUCAGCUGAGACAGUUAAGCAGGUUUGGAGGUGUGAAGAUAGAUAGAUGAGGAUGAGCUUCAUGUAUUCAGAAGGUAGGCGGCCCAGGUCCUUGCUUUUCUUUUCUUUCUUUCUUUUUUUUUUUUAAUAUAUAUAAUUUAUUAUCAAGUUAGCUAACAUACAGUAUAUACAGUGUAUUCUUGGUUUGGGGGUAGAUUCCCGUGAUUAUCGCUUACAUACAACACCCAGUGCUCAUCCCAACAAGUGCCCUCCUCAGUGUCCAUCACCCAUUACCCCCCUCCCCAAUGCCCUGGCCCAUCAACCCUGUUUGUUCUCCACAUUCAAGAGUGUCUUACGGUUUGUGUCCCUCUCUAUUUGGAAACAUUUUUUUCUUCUUCCCUUCUCGCAUGGUCCUCUGUUAAGUUUCUCAAGAUCCACAUAUGAAUGAGAACAUAUGAUAUCUGUCUUUCUCUGACUGACAUAUUUCACUUAGCAUAAUACCCUCCAGUUCCAUCCAUGCCGUUGCAAAUGGCAGGAUUUCAUUCUUUCUCAUUGCCAAGCAUUAUUCCAUUGGACCAUUCCCUGCAUGGGUUCCAUGCCUUUUUGGAUGAUGCCGUUCUUUCCACAGUGACCGCAACCCCACGUGCUGACUGGAGGGCCUAGCCCUUGGAGAACCAGG
Molecule: long non-coding RNA, 825 nt
Filed under: Felis catus (domestic cat)
Lineage: Eukaryota; Metazoa; Chordata; Mammalia; Carnivora; Felidae
Description: lncRNA (ENSFCAG00000052393.1)
Source: RNAcentral